This 798-nucleotide long non-coding RNA is filed under the name Phaseolus vulgaris (common bean). Its description in RNAcentral is "long non-coding RNA (PVUL_LNC004836)". The record is from RNAcentral. Lineage: Eukaryota; Viridiplantae; Streptophyta; Magnoliopsida; Fabales; Fabaceae.
UAAUAAGUAUUUUUAUUAAAUCUUACUUAUCUAAAUUGAACACUUGUGAAGUUCUGCAUGAUGAACCAAUAAGGGAAGAACUGUCUUCUCUUUCUUCUCAUCGCCCAUUGUUUCCUUCUUCAAUUCUAUCUCUCUAAGCUUCUUCAAGUGUUUCACAAAAACGAAUCUACUUCAUCGCAUCAUCGUCUUUUCUACGCUACUCAACUUCUACAACACUCAGAUCCGCACUUCACAGUUAGUGUAACAGAUUCUGCCACAAUUUCGUAUCGAUUUUGUUUUGCAAUCGCUUAUCAUUUUCUGUUGCAGGUGAUGGCUUCUUCUGUUCUCUCCGCAGCUUUGAACUCUCUCUCUCCCUCUUAUUCUCUCUCCUCGCGCCAAACCCACAAGGUACCUCUUUCGCAUUGUUCCCACAUUGGUUUUAACGAUUACCCUUUUUUGAUUUGACGUUGCUGUCAAACAGGGGAAGCCCAAGAUUGGAGGCAACGCUUUGAGAUUUAACAAGUCCUUCCCAAAUGCAAGGGUAUGUUCUAAAAACUAAAUCUUUGUUGCUUCAAUUUUAUUCAUUUGUUUUUGUUUUGCUUUGGUUGGUUCAUUUUUUAUUCGUUAUUACUUUAUGAUCAAUUGGGUAGGUCUAUUGGGAAGCUAAGUUGGUUUUGGUUUUCUGCAUGUGACAUCUCUCGUGGUUUGUCAGGUGUCGAUGUCUCUAUACUGACCUUAAAAUCAAAAGUCUGACAUAGAGACACUUGAAUGGACUCAAAUCAAACUUUUUGAAUUUAGGAGAUUAAUGAGAUGAGAGAU